Molecule: ribosomal RNA, 640 nt
Filed under: uncultured bacterium
Lineage: Bacteria
Description: bacterial SSU rRNA
Rfam family: Bacterial small subunit ribosomal RNA
Source: RNAcentral
GAAAGAUUCAUCGGAAGAGGAUGGGCAUGCGGCGCAUUAGCUAGACGGCGGGGUAACGGCCCACCGUGGCGACGAUGCGUAGGGGUUCUGAGAGGAAGGUCCCCCACACUGGUACUGAGACACGGACCAGACUCCUACGGGAGGCAGCAGUGAGGAAUAUUGGUCGAUGGGAGAGAUCCUGAACCAGCCAAGCCGCGUGAGGGAAGACGGCCCUAUGGGUUGUAAACCUCUUUUGUCGGAGAACAAAACCCGGGACGUGUCCCGGACUGCGUGUAUCCGAAGAAAAAGCAUCGGCUAACUCCGUGCCAGCAGCCGCGGUAAUACGGAGGAUGCGAGCGCUAUCCGGAUUUAUUGGGUUUAAAGGGUGCGUAGGCGGUCCGUUAAGUCAGCGGUAAAAUUGCGGGGCUCAACCCCGUCGAGCCGUUGAAACUGGCAGACUUGAGUUGGCGAGAAGUACGCGGAAUGCGCGGUGUAGCGGUGAAAUGCAUAGAUAUCGCGCAGAACUCCGAUUGCGAAGGCAGCGUACCGGCGCCAGACUGACGCUGAGGCACGAAAGCGUGGGGAUCGAACAGGAUUAGAUACCCUGGUAGUCCACGCAGUAAACGAUGAAUGCUGGUUGUCCGGGUCGAAUGAGAUCUGG